This is a long non-coding RNA of Apis cerana (Asiatic honeybee), 364 nucleotides long. RefSeq lists it as uncharacterized. Lineage: Eukaryota; Metazoa; Arthropoda; Insecta; Hymenoptera; Apidae. The record is from RefSeq and is a predicted model, not a curated record.
CCACGAUCAUAAUAUUAGGAAUAUAAAGAAUCGAAAGUUAUACAUUUAUACAUGUAUAAAAAUGCUUUUUUUACAGGUUAUAUUAGCCACCAUAUUGGUUUCUUUCACUACACCUGAGUUUAUAAAAACAAUAGAUAUUAAAUUCAUGGAAUGCUCAACUUGCUAUGGAUGGCUACAUCCCAAAAUAUUCACAAACAUUGGUUACCAACAUUAAGCAAGCAAUAAUAUGCAUGUGAUGUCAUUAAAAGAGGAAACAAGAACAGAUUUUUUUUAUAUUAAUAAAUAAUUGGAUAGAAAAAAUAAAUGAUAUCACAAAAAAUAUGACGAUUAAUGUAAUCCACAAAAUAAAAUAUUUUUUUACAUA